AGAGAGAGACAUGCGCGCAUAUCAAUAAGCGGAGGAAAAGAAACUAACAAGGAUUCCCCUAGUAACGGCGAGUGAAGCGGGAAGAGCUCAAAUUUGAAAUCUUAAAGGGUUUCCCUUUACGAAUUGUAGUUUAAAGAAGUGUUUUCUGUUGAGGUUUUGGUAAAAGUUCUUUGGAAUAGGACAUCAUAGAGGGUGAGAAUCCCGUAUUUGACCUUUACUUUCAACUUUGUGAUACACUUUCAAAGAGUCGGAUUGUUUGGGAAUGCAGUCCAAAAUGGGUGGUAAAUUUCAUCUAAAGCUAAAUAUUGGCGAGAGACCGAUAGCGAACAAGUACCGUGAGGGAAAGAUGAAAAGAACUUUGAAAAGAGAGUUAAACAGUACGUGAAAUUGUCAAAAGGGAAGCGUUUGACACCAGUGUUGUUUUUCUGAAAAUCAAUUAAAGAACUGUUUAUGCUAAGUUGUUUAGACUUUAUCAGCUAACUGUUUAGUUUUGAGCUUUUCUUUAAUGCACUUUUCAGUUAACAAGUCAACAUCAAUUUCUUUUGCUGUAAAAAAGCUUGAGGAAGGUGGCUUGAGAUUCGUCUUAAGUGUUUAUAGCCUCUUGCCUAUGCAGUCGGAGAGAUUGAGGUCUGCAGCGUAGAUCCUUCGGGGCUAAAUGCAUUUGUGCUAAGUUAUAGCAUUUUAUAGACAACUUGUUGACUAUGAUUUGUCUUGUAGCUUACUCGCUUAUGUUAUUUUACCUACGCUCAGGAUGUUGAGCGCAUGUCUCUCUCU
Molecule: ribosomal RNA, 774 nt
Filed under: uncultured Neocallimastigales
Lineage: Eukaryota; Fungi; Neocallimastigomycota; Neocallimastigomycetes; Neocallimastigales
Description: partial large subunit ribosomal RNA
Rfam family: Eukaryotic large subunit ribosomal RNA
Source: RNAcentral